This 1099-nucleotide unclassified non-coding RNA is filed under the name Hevea brasiliensis (rubber tree). Lineage: Eukaryota; Viridiplantae; Streptophyta; Magnoliopsida; Malpighiales; Euphorbiaceae. The record is from RNAcentral.
GCAUAAUAUUCGUAGAUAUGCCUGUUGGCACUGGAUUUUCCUAUGCAAGAACCCAACUUGCUUCUCAUUCAACUGACUUGAUUCAAGUUCGCCAAGCAGAUCAAUUUCUUAGAAAGUGGCUAAUGGAUCAUCCAGAAUUCCUGUCGAACCCUGUCUAUAUCGCAGGGGACUCCUACUCUGGGAUUACCAUUCCAGCUAUAACUCAAAAAGUCUCAGAUGGGAACGAAGAGGGUAUGGAUCCACCAAUAAAUGUGAAGGGAUAUAUUAUAGGGAAUGGUGGUGCAGAUAUAAGUUUUGAUGCCAACUCAAAGAUCCCAUUUGCUCAUGGAAUGGGUCUUAUUUCUGAUGAACUCUAUGAGUCAUUAAAGAGAAGUUGUGGAGAAGAAUAUGUGAAUAUAGACCCCAACAAUACCGUGUGCUUGAAACACAUGCAGGAUUUUAACGAGGGUCUUUAUGGGCUCUUUCCUAAUCACAUCUUGGAACCCAUUUGUGGUUUUGCUUCUCCAAAGCCAUUUCAGAUACUUGAUAAAAGAUCUCUCAGCGACAACUCUCAAGACAUCCUUGAAAUCGAUCCAUUUUUUCCAACAAUUGGCUGUCGUAGUUAUGCAUACCUGCUUUCUUAUAUUUGGGCCGGUGACAACAGUGUUCGUGAAGCACUUCAUAUACGAGAGGGAAGCAUAAAGCAAUGGCAGCGAUGCAACUAUGGAAUACCUUAUACUUCUGACAUUCCAAGCAGUAUCAAGUAUCAUUUAUACCUUAGCAAGAAAGGCUACCGCUCAUUAAUCUAUAGUGGCGAUCAUGACAUGGUUGUGCCAUUCUUGGGAACUCAAGCAUGGAUAAGAUCUCUAAACUAUUCAAUUCUUGAUGAUUGGAGACCGUGGCUGGUUGAAGGCCAAGUUGCAGGGUACACAAGGACUUACUCUAAUCGGAUGACAUUUGCAACUGUGAAGGGUGCGGGGCACACAGCUCCAGAAUACAAGCCUGAAGAAUGUUUAGCCAUGCUCAAAAGGUGGAUAAAUCGGGAGCCUUUGUAAUUAUGUGCAUCAAAAGCCCUAAUAUAGAAAAUGCUAAUUGCCUAGCUUCCAAAAUAACGACGACC